Molecule: transfer RNA, 66 nt
Filed under: Numidum massiliense
Lineage: Bacteria; Bacillati; Bacillota; Bacilli; Caryophanales; Bacillaceae
Rfam family: tRNA
About the family: Transfer RNA (tRNA) molecules are approximately 80 nucleotides in length. Their secondary structure includes four short double-helical elements and three loops (D, anti-codon, and T loops).
Source: RNAcentral
CCGUAGCUCAGCAGGAUAGAGCACCAGUUUCCUAAACUGGGUGUCGCAGGUUCGAAUCCUGCCGGG